GACCCAUAUAAAUGAUUGGGAGCCAAUGGUGUGUCCUCCGUUCCCGUGUUGGCUUGCCUGGAGGACCCUGCCCUUCUGCCUGACUGUAAAGCACCUUUGUUCAGCUCAGGGAGAUACUUUGGCCCUGCCCACCUGUGAAUAGAAGAGAUUAACACGCCCCUUGCAAAGGCUGGCCAUUCGCUUGGAGAUGUUCUGCAAGACUGAAGGCGCUUUCACUUUACUUCCCGACUGCCUCGCCCUCUCUAUUCUUCCUUUUGACUUUAGUUCCUCAUUGCUUCUUUCUCUCUGAUCUAUAAAAGAACCUGGCAUCCACAUCCUGACAAAAGGGUUAUUUUGAGGCACUAGCCUGCCAUCUUCUCAGUCAGCUGCUUCCCGAAUAAAGUCUCCUGUCUCAACACCUUGUCUCUCGGAUUCAUUGGCCUGUCGUGCUGCAAGCAGAGUGAGCCUGGACUCAGUAACACUGACAUUGUCAAAUGUCCCCUAAUGACUAAAAAACCACUGGUAUAGAGUCUACCCUAGAAACAGUGUGGUCUGCAGACCAGCAGCAUAAGCCUCACCGGGGAGUUUCUUCAAGAUGCCAAAUCCCAGGCCCCUUAUCAGAACUGCUGAGCCAGGAUCUGCAGUUUAUCAAGAUCCCCCAGCUGGCCUCGGGUGGUUUCAUGGCUGCUCCUCCCUUGAUUAGCAACUGCUCGAAUUUGCUUUUUGGAACUCAGAACAUGAAGACUUUCUGAGCAGAUUGUCAUCAAAAGAUCAGCAGACUUUUUCAAAAAUGUCAAAUCACAUAUAAGUUUCUCACAAGUGAUGAAAUCACUGAUACCGCAAGUUUCCAAUUAACAGGACUAUACAAGGAAUUACUUCCUUUACACUUUGGACUCCAUAGCUUGUGUUCGGAAUCCCAGUGGUCUCCACUGACAUUGAAGUCAGAGCUCGAAAAUACCACCAGGUGGCGCCAAUACCACUUUAAUAGAUUGAGAAAUGGCCAAGCUUGUUUCUAAUAAACAUAAAUCCUUCCAAUUUUUUUUAAAGAAUUUUUAAAAUUUCUUUCUUUCUUUACUGUUCUGGGUCUUUGUUUCUGCGUGGGCUUUUCUCUAGUUGAGGUGAGCAGGGGCUAUUCUCUAGGUGUGGUGGCUUUGGCUUCUCCUUAGGGUGGUUUCUCUUGUUGCAGAGAGGGGGGCUCAGUAGUUGUGGCUCACGGGCUUAGCUGCAUGUGGGAUAUUCCUGUACCAGGGGUGUAACCUGUGUGCCCUGC
Bos taurus (domestic cattle) is the source of this 1249-nucleotide long non-coding RNA. Lineage: Eukaryota; Metazoa; Chordata; Mammalia; Artiodactyla; Bovidae. The record is from Ensembl.